AAGUCGUAACAAGGUUUCCGUAGGUGAACCUGCGGAAGGAUCAUUAAAAAAUCAAUAAUAGAAGCCGCAAGGUUUCUUGAGCCGUAAGGCUCUAAUAUUUUGUGAACUGUGUUGUAUGUGUGUGUGAAGUGUGCGUGAUAUCCUCUGGGUCACCACGAUGAUAUCGGUGUACAUGACAUACACACUACAAAUUUGAUAAUAUAUAUGAUUUUGAUGUUGAGGAAAGUAUUAUAUUUAAUUAAUAUAUAUACAACUUUCAACAGUGGAUCUCUCGGCUCUU
Molecule: unclassified non-coding RNA, 280 nt
Filed under: fungal sp.
Lineage: Eukaryota; Fungi
Description: partial internal transcribed spacer region
Rfam family: Eukaryotic small subunit ribosomal RNA (bases 1-46)
Source: RNAcentral